UGGGGAAUUUUGGACAAUGGGGGAAACCCUGAUCCAGCCAUCCCGCGUGUGCGAUGAAGGCCUUCGGGUUGUAAAGCACUUUUGGCAGGAAAGAAACGUCAUGGGUUAAUACCCCGUGAAACUGACGGUACCUGCAGAAUAAGCACCGGCUAACUACGUGCCAGCAGCCGCGGUAAUACGUAGGGUGCAAGCGUUAAUCGGAAUUACUGGGCGUAAAGCGUGCGCAGGCGGUUCGGAAAGAAAGAUGUGAAAUCCCAGAGCUCAACUUUGGAACUGCAUUUUUAACUACCGGGCUAGAGGGUGUCAGAGGGAGGUGGAAUUCCGCGUGUAGCAGUGAAAGGCGUAGAUAUGCGGAGGAACACCGAUGGCGAAGGCAGCCUCCUGGGAUAACACUGACGCUCAUGCACGAAAGCGUGGGGAGCAAACAGG
RNAcentral lists this ribosomal RNA (429 nucleotides) under Acidobacteriota bacterium. Its description in RNAcentral is "Acidobacteria bacterium partial 16S ribosomal RNA". It matches the Rfam family "Bacterial small subunit ribosomal RNA", at positions 355 to 776 of the family's 1533-position model. The record is from RNAcentral. Lineage: Bacteria; Pseudomonadati; Acidobacteriota.